CGGGGCGUAGUUUAGCUAGCUAGAACAUUUCCUUUACACCGAGAAGACAUCCGUG
Molecule: ribosomal RNA, 55 nt
Filed under: Paralabrax maculatofasciatus (spotted sand bass)
Lineage: Eukaryota; Metazoa; Chordata; Actinopteri; Perciformes; Serranidae
Description: partial 12S ribosomal RNA
Source: RNAcentral